UCGGGGUUCGUCUAAUGGUAGGACAGCGGCCUUUGGAGCCGUUAAUUGGGGUUCGAAUCCCUGACCCCGAG
RNAcentral lists this transfer RNA (71 nucleotides) under Patescibacteria group bacterium. Its description in RNAcentral is "Patescibacteria bacterium tRNA". It matches the Rfam family "tRNA". Rfam says of the family: Transfer RNA (tRNA) molecules are approximately 80 nucleotides in length. Their secondary structure includes four short double-helical elements and three loops (D, anti-codon, and T loops). Further hydrogen bonds mediate the characteristic L-shaped molecular structure. tRNAs have two regions of fundamental functional importance: the anti-codon, which is responsible for specific mRNA codon recognition, and the 3' end, to which the tRNAs corresponding amino acid is attached (by aminoacyl-tRNA synthetases). tRNAs cope with the degeneracy of the genetic code in two manners: having more than one tRNA (with a specific anti-codon) for a particular amino acid; and 'wobble' base-pairing, i.e. permitting non-standard base-pairing at the 3rd anti-codon position. The record is from Rfam by way of RNAcentral. RNAcentral also lists the same sequence under 1 other name.